UCAACACAAUCUUUGUAAUGUUUUCCAAUAAGCACCUGCCUCUGAGGUUGUCUUUUGGCCUUAUAAACGCUCACGUCCUCAACAUGCGCCAACGGUCAAGCUUUAACUGCUUUUGUUGAACUGUCCGGUCUGUUCUGACCGCUAAACACAGAAUCAUAGGGCGUGAGACAGGACUAGCAGGACUACUACUUACUAAACUCGCAAGACACUGGUGGGAGGACUCAAGGGAAGGCAGAGAGAAAUAUGACAGUGUGACACUGCCAACAGGACACAUUCAACUAUUAAGACGCAAGUAGAACACAAGGGAGGCAAGGAGGGGAUUGGCCGCGAGACGGUGGGAAAGCCGAUGAGACGCAUUGGAGGCCAAGAGUGGCUGGAUGCAAGACAUCAGGCAGGGGGUAUUACACUAACAUGAGGACACAAGGAAAAGACAAGAUUCAAGAUUCAAGAGAGUUUUAUUGUCAUGUGCAUGGUAAAACAGCAGUUAUACCAUGCAAUGAAAAUCUUAUUCUGUUCAUUCUCCCAAGAAAAGAAAGAAAAAUGAAAGAAUAAGAACAUAAGAAACAUAAACACAUAAACAUAUACCAAUAAAUUAAGCAACAACAGAAGAGACAUUAAUACAAGUAAAUAAUACAAAUAAAUAAAGUGCUAUGAGUGUGUGCGUGUGUUGCGUGCGGCGUGUGCGAGUGCUUCGUUGAGGAGCCUGAUGGCCUGUGGGUAAAAGCUGUUUGCCAGCCUUGUGGUCCUGGACUUCAAACUCCUGUAGCGUCUGCCUGACGGUAGGAGUGUGAAUGAGUGAUGUGGAUGUGUGCUGUCCUUGAUGAGGUGUGUUCUUCGUAGGACUCUAGAUUUAUAAAUGUCUUGCAGUGAGGGGAGGGCUGCCCCAACAAUGUUCUGUGAGGUCUUGAUCACCCGCUGGAGUGCCUUCCUAUCACGUGUUGUACAGUUACCGUAACCAAACAGUGAUGGAGGAGGUAAGGACACUUUCCAUAGUGCAUCUGUAGAAGCAACUCAGGAUUGUGGUGGACAUGCCAAAUUUCCUCAGUCUUCUCAGGAAGUACAGUCUCCUUUGGGACUUCUUCAGAAUUUGUUGGGUGUUGUGAGACCAGGUGAGGUCCUCGCUGAUGUGUGUGCCAAGGAACUUGAAGGUUUUCACCCUCUCCACCUCAGUCUCAUCAAUAAACGGGGGUUUAUGCGGCUCCUUUUCCCUUGUUCUUGGGUCGAUGAUCAUCUCUUUAGUCUUAUCUGUAUUGAGAAGGAGAUUGUUAUCAUGACACAAAGCUAUGAGGUCCGCCACCUCUCUUCUGUAUGAUGUUUCAACACCACCAGUGAUCAGUCCGAUGACUGUAGUGUCAUCCGCAAAUUGAAUGAUGCUGGUGUUGUUCUGGGAGGCCACGCAAUCGUAGGUGAAGAGCGUGUAGAGGAGUGGACUCAGCACACACCCCUGUGGGGUCCCAGUGCUCACAAUUCUUGAGCUGGAUGUGCGGUUGUGGACUCUGACUGGGGUCUGCCUGUGAGAAAGUUAAACACCCAGUUACAGAGGGAGGGAGACAGGCCAAGUGUGAGGAGCUUAUUAGUGAGUUUGUGGGGGCAGACUGUAUUAAAAGCAGAGCUAUAGUCUAUAAAUAGCAUUCUGACGUAUGUGUCCUGGCCCUGUAGGUGAGAAAGGGCUGUGUGGAUGGCAGUGUUGACUGCAUCAUCCGUGGACCGGUUCUGGCGAUAUGCAAACUGUAGAGGGUCCACAGUUGCCGCCUGGAUGCUCUUUUUGAUGUGGGUCAUGACUAUUCCUUCAAAGCACUUCAUAACAAUAGGAGUGAGUGCUACAGGGCGAUAGUCAUUCAAGCAGGUCACGUUGCUCUUCUUGGGUACGGGCACUAUGGUGGUGGACUUAAAGCAGGUCGGUACAGAUGCUUGUGCAAGCGACAGGUUAAAUAUGUCAGCAAGCACAUCAGCUAGCUCUGAUGAGCAAACCCGAAGUGCACGUCCUGAGAUGUUGUCUGGCCCUGCUGCUUUUCGUGGGUUUGUUUUGUUCAGAACCCUGCGCACGUCAGCUGAUGUCACCAUGAGAGGUGAGUCCUGUGUGCUCCCCAAGCCCAGCCACUCUCUGCUGGUCAGGAGUUUGGGUGUCAAAGCGGGCAUAGAACUCAUUCAACUCAUCAGGAAGUGUGGUUUGGCUGGACGUGGCUACGCUACUCCGCUGUCGAUAGUCUGUGAUGUGCUGGAGCCCCGCCCACAUGCGCCGAGGGUCUGAGGUGGAAUAGUAGCCCUCCAGCUUCUGUCUGUACUGUCUUUUGGCCUCUCGUAUGGACCUCCUCAGGUCAUAUGUGGCCUUUUUGUAGUCAUCAGCGGUGCCCAUGACAAAUGCAGUCGAACGAGCACGUAGCUUAGCCCUUACAUCACAGUUCAUCCACUGUUUUUGGUUAGGGUAUUUUCUGUAAUACUUGGUGGUGGUAACAGUCUCUAUACAUGUGCUAAUGUAGCCAGUAACAGCAGAAGCAUAUUCAUCCAAAUCAACAGUACAAUCUUCCCUCCCCGCUGCAGUUUUAAACACAUCCCAGUUUGUGCAGCCAAAGCAGUCCUGAAGUACUUGAUCAGUUUCUUCAUUCCACACUUUAACUGCUGUACUUACAGGGGGAGCUUUUUUAAGAAGUUGUCUGUAUGUUGGAUAAAGGAAUAUAGAGAUGUGGUCAGCCUUUCCAAAGUGGGGUCUUGGAACAAGAUAGUGUCGUCACCAGGGAAGGCAAGAGAUACUUGGGCUGUGAGACAGGCCCUUGAACAAGACUGACAGGGGAAGACAAGGAUGUGAUUGGCCAGGAGACAUAGGAUGGGACUGAAACAAAGACACAGUUGGGAGGAGACGAGCCAACUUGGUGCGAGACAAAACAGUGAUGGUUAAGUAGAUAUAGGUGGAAGAACACAGAGGACACUGGCUGUGAAACGCAGGACGGGACUAAAGGCAGAAAUCGAACAGCGCCCCCUUCCUUUGUUGCUGAUGGAGGAAAACUGACUUCCUGCGUGACUUCCUGCCCCUCAUUCACAGGCACACAUCGCCACAAAGAACUUCUUUUGGUGGUCACAUUCAACAUGAAGCCUCAGUCUUCAUCCCUCAUUGUCUUCAUCACCAAUGUCCUCUGCAUGACAGGAGUCAAGCUGAGCAAAGACAAAGACGUCUUCCAGGCACCUCACAAGAGUCUUCAAGAGAACAACCAACACUAAGUUUCCACCAUGAGUUCCAGAACUACGACACCAUCCUGUGGUACCGGCGCUUGGCUGGAGUUGAUCGUCUGGGUGAACUACAAAGAGCCCUCAGUGGUGACGCACUUCGGGAGCCACUUAAAUGCUGCACUCAGUUCAUCCAGCUCAAGUCCUUGAGAUCCAGUCACCCACCUCACUUGGGCGUGCCUCAAGGCUCUGUUCCGGGUACCCUCCUCUUCAUCUACCUCCUACGGAUUGUUAGAUGGUGAUGUUGCCUGGUGUCUUCUCCGUAUUUGUAUAGCCCAUUUUUGAUUACACUCAGGGCACUGAUAACUACCGGUAUGGUGGAUGUUUUCAUACCACAUAUUCUCUUGAUUUGGCCUUUGGCUAGGGUAUUUUUCAUUCCAGAUUUCACAGGUGUCCAUGGUCUCUUCAGCUGCCUUCACAACUGGAUUGUUAUGCCUGCAUUGCCCAGUCCAUACUGCGGCUAGGGGAGGAUGGGUCUUAUGUAACGGAUGCCGGCUUUGCAAAGGGCCAGCUUGCAGGCCCCCAGUUCUGACUGGUUGAUGGACUGUUCAACGAGCUGUUAUGCCCACAAAGGCUGACCGAGGAGGAGAAAGUGAUAUUUCUGGUCUGAAAGCUGUAAAAAUCCCCACAAUGAAACCCAGCUACAGAGACAAGAAGACAGAGCCUGGACACACCCCGCCUUCCUGGCAAAACAGGCAUGGGUGUCCAAAGUGUGGCGCAGGGGCCAUCUGAGGAACGUGCGUCAUUGCAAAAAAAAUUAUCAAAGGGGCUCCCUUUGAUAUCCCUUUGAUAUAAUUAUCUUGUGCAAUGUUAUGCUAUUAUGCUAUGAUAUGUUAUGCUAUGCUAUGCAAUGUUUUAUGAUGUGAUGGUAGGUUAUAUGAUGCGGUGCUAUGUUAUGUUACGCUACGUUACAUUAUACGCUAUAGGUCAUAUUGAAUGUCUGGGAGGGGUGAAAUUGUGUGCAACAUCCCCGCCUUCUGUUCCUGAGCUUCUUUUCUUAGCGCCACACAAAUAG
Dunckerocampus dactyliophorus (ringed pipefish) is the source of this 4237-nucleotide long non-coding RNA. RefSeq lists it as uncharacterized. The record is from RefSeq and is a predicted model, not a curated record. The transcript is spliced from 5 exons. NCBI's taxonomy places the organism in Eukaryota, Metazoa, Chordata, Actinopteri, Syngnathiformes, Syngnathidae.